Non-coding RNA from Delphinapterus leucas (beluga whale), 1506 nucleotides. NCBI's taxonomy places the organism in Eukaryota, Metazoa, Chordata, Mammalia, Artiodactyla, Monodontidae. The record is from RefSeq and is a predicted model, not a curated record.
GCCUGAGCAGCCACGGAGGCCAAGGGCAGGGGCUGUCCAAGGCAGCCUGGCUGGAGGGCAGACGUGGGAGCGCCAGCCCAGGAAGGCGGCCCCGGCUCCGAGGGCCGGGGGGGUCUCUGGAGCUACGGUGGGCAGCUCCCAGCAGGCCUUCUGAGCUCGGCGGUCAGCUCACCUGCCCCUCUACCCGCCGUCCGCAGGGCUCGGCCAGCUGCUCACACUGGAGGUGGAAGGGAACCGGCUGCACGAUGGGAACAUCUCCCUCCUGGCCUUCCAACCCCUACGCAGCCUGCUCUACCUGAGGCUGGACCGGAACCAGCUGCGGACCAUCCCGCCCGGCCUGCCAGCCUCCCUGCAGGAGCUGCACUUGGGCACCAACGUCAUCGAGGAGGUGCCAGAGGGCACACUGAACUGGCUGGCGCCCCGUGCUUGGAUCGAUCUCCCCCCGCGUGAGGACGGCAUCCACGGCGUGUCCUUCCUGGGCCUGCAAGCCUCCCUGGUCGAGCUGCUCCUGGACCACAACCAGCUGCAGGCCGUCCCACAGGGCCUCCUGGGCCUCAGGGCCCUGCAGGUGCUGAGCCUGAGCCACAACAAGAUCAGAUAGGGCCGAUGGCCUGUGGCCAUCCUGCUGUCCCCCCCACCCCACCCGCAUCCCUACCGCCAGCCCAGGAGGAAGCUUGGCUAAGGCCCGGAGGCCCAGCCUGGUAGGUUGGCCAGGUGCUCUGGCCUGUGGGCUUGUCACCCAAGGGCCUCAGAGGCUGAGGGCGGGACUGUGGGGGGCAUCCUUCACCGCCCCCAACUCCCCAUCUUGGUCGCCGUGACUGGAGGCUGUAGCCGCUGGCAGGCCCGGGCAGCCAAGGUGGACAGCAGAAUCUGGGCAGGGGGUGGGCGGGCGGAGGUUGGGAGGGCUCUGGCCCAGAGCAGCAAGGGCCGAGCCCCGAGUGGGCAGGUGGCAGGUGGUGGCAGCGACCCGCCUGACCCUCCACCCUGGGUCUGGUGUCUGUGCCUUGGUCUCACCACCCCCUUGCUGUCGGGCUCCUCUUUCUCUCCUCUCACCUGAGGCCUGACUCUCCUUUCUGGGGUCUCUUCUCCUCUGCCCCGCCCUGCUACCCCCACUCCACAGGCACGUGCCCCUGAAUUCCAUCUGUGACACACGCGUGGCCCAGGACUCCAACCUCAUCUCCACGCACCUGGAGAACAACCUUAUAGACCGGCGUCGCAGCCCACCCACCACGUUCUCCUGCAUCCGGGCCUACCACAGCGUGGUCCUCCAGCCCCAGCAGGGGGAGGGGGAGUCCGCCUAGCCCCACCAGCCUUCCCCACCCCCUGCUCUUUUGGGACUGGGUGGGUGGCGGGGCAUCUUUGCACCACUGGGAGAAAGAUCUAGAAGACCCUGCUGCUUCAGAUGCACCCAUGUCCCAUUGACUGCUGAGGCCCCUUAACUUAGUAAAUGACCCAGCCUGGCAUGGUGCUGGUUUGGACUUGCACAUAAUAAAUGCAUCUCAUUCA